This 503-nucleotide ribosomal RNA is filed under the name uncultured bacterium. RNAcentral describes it as "bacterial SSU rRNA". It matches the Rfam family "Bacterial small subunit ribosomal RNA", at positions 8 to 507 of the family's 1533-position model. The record is from RNAcentral.
AGAGUUUGAUCCUGGCUCAGGAUGAACGCUAGCGGCAGGCUUAAUACAUGCAAGUCAGGGGCAGCGGGUGUAGCAAUACAUGCCGGCGACCGGCGCACGGGUGCGUAACGCGUAUGUAACCUACCUUUAACUGGAGGAUAGCCCCGAGAAAUCGGGAUUAAUACUCCAUAAAAUUAUGAGAAGGCAUCUUUUUAUAAUUAAAGCUCCGGCGGUUUUAGAUGGGCAUGCGUGACAUUAGCUAGUUGGUGAGGUAACGGCUCACCAAGGCUCCGAUGUCUAGGGGUUCUGAGAGGAUUAACCCCCACACUGGUACCGAGACACGGACCAGACUCCUACGGGAGGCAGCAGUAAGGAAUAUUGGGCAAUGGACGCAAGUCUGACCCAGCCAUGCCGCGUGAAGGAUGACGGCCCUAUGGGUUGUAAACUUCUUUUGUACGGGAAAAAACCUUCGAACGUGUUCGAAGCUGAUGGUACCGUAAGAAUAAGCAUCGGCUAACUCCGUG